UGGCUCAGUUGGUAGAGCAUGGCACUUGCAAUGCCAGGGUUGUGGGUUCGAUUCCCAC
RNAcentral lists this transfer RNA (58 nucleotides) under Oncorhynchus mykiss (rainbow trout). It matches the Rfam family "tRNA", at positions 8 to 63 of the family's 71-position model. Rfam says of the family: Transfer RNA (tRNA) molecules are approximately 80 nucleotides in length. Their secondary structure includes four short double-helical elements and three loops (D, anti-codon, and T loops). Lineage: Eukaryota; Metazoa; Chordata; Actinopteri; Salmoniformes; Salmonidae. The record is from Rfam by way of RNAcentral. RNAcentral also lists the same sequence under 5 other names.